RNAcentral lists this ribosomal RNA (87 nucleotides) under Bothriembryon glauerti. Its description in RNAcentral is "partial 5.8S ribosomal RNA". It matches the Rfam family "5.8S ribosomal RNA", at positions 71 to 154 of the family's 154-position model. From Rfam's summary of the family: 5.8S ribosomal RNA (5.8S rRNA) is a component of the large subunit of the eukaryotic ribosome. It is transcribed by RNA polymerase I as part of the 45S precursor that also contains 18S and 28S rRNA. Lineage: Eukaryota; Metazoa; Mollusca; Gastropoda; Stylommatophora; Bulimulidae. The record is from RNAcentral.
AUUGCAGAACACAUUGAACAUCGACACCUUGAACGCAUAUGGCGGCCUUGGGUCCAUCCCGAGGCCACGCCCGUCUGAGGGUCGGCU